UGGGGAAUUUUGCACAAUGGAGGAAACUCUGAUGCAGCGACGCCGCGUGAGUGAUGAAGAUCUUCGGAUUGUAAAACUCUGUCCUUAGUGAAGAUAAUGACAAUAACUAAGAAGCAAGCCCUGGCUAAAUACGUGCCAGCAGCCGCGGUAAUACGUAUGGGGCAAGCGUUGUCCGGAAUUAUUGGGCGUAAAGGGUACGUAGGCGGUUUAAUAAGUCCUAAUUAAAAGGCUAUGGCUCAACCAUAGUAUGGUUAGGAAACUGUUGAACUUGAGUAGAUGAGGGGAAAGUGGAAUUCCAUGUGUAGCGGUGAAAUGCGUAGAUAUAUGGAGGAACACCAAUGGCGAAGGCAACUUUCUGGAAUCAAACUGACGCUGAGGUACGAAGGCGUGGGGAGCAAACAGG
This 403-nucleotide ribosomal RNA is filed under the name Fusobacteriota bacterium. RNAcentral describes it as "Fusobacteria bacterium partial 16S ribosomal RNA". It matches the Rfam family "Bacterial small subunit ribosomal RNA", at positions 355 to 776 of the family's 1533-position model. Lineage: Bacteria; Fusobacteriati; Fusobacteriota. The record is from RNAcentral.